Molecule: RNase P RNA, 413 nt
Filed under: Halosimplex rubrum
Lineage: Archaea; Methanobacteriati; Methanobacteriota; Halobacteria; Halobacteriales; Haloarculaceae
Description: RNase P RNA component
Rfam family: Archaeal RNase P
About the family: Ribonuclease P (RNase P) is a ubiquitous endoribonuclease, found in archaea, bacteria and eukarya as well as chloroplasts and mitochondria. Its best characterised activity is the generation of mature 5'-ends of tRNAs by cleaving the 5'-leader elements of precursor-tRNAs. Cellular RNase Ps are ribonucleoproteins.
Source: RNAcentral
GGCAGAGGGAGCCCGGCCUCCGUGCCCAGGCCCGCGCCGACACCGUCGGCGCGCUACGGGCAUGAGGAAAGUCCCCCCACCGUCCGGGCAGGUGACCGGGUGCAAACCCGGAGCGGGAGACCGCUGGCGCUGGAACAGAAACGAGACCACUCCGCUCGACUGAUGACGUGCGCGAACCCGGAGCGACCGGCCUCGCCGGGAAGCGACGGGGAGCUAACCCACCGAAGGCAGACGGCGUCCGCGAGUCCAGACGGACUCGCGGGCCCGUCGGGCGCUUUGCGUCCGACGGCGGAGAACGGAUGGAACGGCGAAUCCUCACCGGUGCAAGUCCGCGCCGCAUGGUAGCCCGGACGCGGGCGCGGACGCUCAGCCGAAUGCCGGGCCGAACAGAAGGGGGCUUACUCCCCUCAGCC